This 794-nucleotide ribosomal RNA is filed under the name uncultured Rubrobacter sp. Its description in RNAcentral is "bacterial SSU rRNA". It matches the Rfam family "Bacterial small subunit ribosomal RNA", at positions 8 to 796 of the family's 1533-position model. Lineage: Bacteria; Bacillati; Actinomycetota; Rubrobacteria; Rubrobacterales; Rubrobacteraceae. The record is from RNAcentral.
AGAGUUUGAUCAUGGCUCAGGACGAACGCUGACGGUGUGCUUUAGACAUGCAAGUCGAACGCGAAAACCCUUCGGGGUGAGUAGAGUGGCGAACGGGUGAGUAACACGUGGGUAACCUACCCCUCGCAGGGGGACAACCGGGGGAAACCCCGGCUAAUACCCCAUACGCUUGCCGGCCCGCAUGGGUUGGCAAGGAAAGGUAGCUUCGGCUAUCCGGCGAGGGAUGGGCCCGCGGUGCAUUAGCUAGUUGGUGGGGUAACGGCCUACCAAGGCGACGAUGCAUAGCUGGUCUGAGAGGAUGAUCAGCCACACUGGGACUGAGACACGGCCCAGACUCCUACGGGAGGCAGCAGUCGGGAAUCUUGCGCAAUGGGCGAAAGCCUGACGCAGCAACACCGUGUGAGCGACGAAGGCCUUCGGGUCGUAAAGCUCUGUUGUUGGGGACGAAGGGUUAAUAGCCCCUAGUCUGACGGUACCCUUCGAGGAAGCCCCGGCUAACUACGUGCCAGCAGCCGCGGUAAUACGUAGGGGGCGAGCGUUGUCCGGAAUUAUUGGGCGUAAAGAGCGUGUAGGCGGUUCGGUAAGUCUGCUGUGAAAUCCUGGGGCUCAACCCCGGGCGUGCGGUGGAAACUGCCGGGCUAGAGGAUGGUAGAGGCGAGUGGAAUUCCCGGUGUAGCGGUGAAAUGCGCAGAUAUCGGGAGGAACACCAGUAGCGAAGGCGGCUCGCUGGGCCAUUCCUGACGCUGAGACGCGAAAGCUAGGGGAGCGAACAGGAUUAGAUACCCCCGUAGUCC